RNAcentral lists this ribosomal RNA (494 nucleotides) under uncultured bacterium. RNAcentral's name for it is "partial 16S ribosomal RNA". It matches the Rfam family "Bacterial small subunit ribosomal RNA", at positions 28 to 507 of the family's 1533-position model. The record is from RNAcentral.
GACGAACGCUGGCGGCGUGCUUAACACAUGCAAGUCGAACGGUGAAGCGCCUUCCUUUUUGGUGGGUGUGGAUGAGUGGCGAACGGGUGAGUAACACGUGAGUAACCUGCCCCCUUCUUCUGGAUAACCGCAUGAAAGUGUGGCUAAUACGGGAUAUUCUGUGUCUGUCGCAUGAUGGGUCUGGGAAAGAUAUUGUUUCGGUGGGGGAUGGUCUCGCGGCCUAUCAGCUUGUUGGUGGGGUGAUGGCCUACCAAGGCGGUGACGGGUAGCCGGCCUGAGAGGGUGGACGGUCACACUGGGACGGAGACACGGCCCAGACUCCUACGGGAGGCAGCAGUGGGGAAUAUUGCACAAUGGGCGCAAGCCUGAUGCAGCGACGCCGCGUGAGGGAUGGAGGCCUGCGGGUUGUGAACCUCUUUCGCCAGUGAAGCAGGCCUGCCUCGUUUGUGGGUGGGUUGACGGUAGCUGGAUAAGAAGCGCCGGCUAACUACGUG